AGUUCUUAGGGAAACGUUUGCUGGUGAACCUGAACAUGCAAUAAAAUAAAUGGAGUUCUCAAUUUCAAAGUGAACUACCGCUGUGCCGCACACCCAUAUUCUAGAAUCUGAACUUUCAAAGUGAAACCCUAGAGAACUACUCCUUCUCCGCUCCGGCCUCCCCUCCGUCGCCACGCCAAAAGACCGGCGCCAUCUCGCCAGGUCCACGCAACAGCAGUGCCCAGCCCACGACCUGCGUCCUCCCGUCAUUUGCCAGCAGACCGCCGUCUUACAGCAGCAGCAAGCAGCACCCUAUCGGCGAGUCGGCGACGAUGACUGCUCCCCGGCCUCUCCUCCGCAACAGCAGCAGCCCGCGAUCUGCGUCGUCACGUCCACGCAGUAGCAUUCUUGUUUUAAGAAUGAAUUGUUAAUAUAUGUUUUUCUGUUUUAUGAAUUGACUGAUAUGUGUGAAAUUGAAUCGCUGAUGUUUAUGGAUUUUUUUCUCUUCAGAUUUCGAGAUGUGAGGCAGCAACAUGUUUUUCUGUUCUUUUCGCUUUUUUUGUAAUUAUUUGAAAUGAGUCAAAUGACAGUAGCAUGUGUUUUAUGAUUUGAAAAAUGAAAAUUCAGUUUUUAUAAAUCGGGUCGGUUCGGUUCGGUUUUGAACCGAUGUUCAGCCAUAUUUGUGGGAAAAACCAAAAUUUGAAAAUUUAUUAUUGUUUUAAACCAAAUUUACCCUAAAAAAAUUGGGAGGGGGGGGAGGAGGUGUGGGGGUGGCAAGAAAAAUUUAAUAAAAAGAUAGGGGGGGGGGGUUGUGGGUGGCAAGAAAACUUAAUUUUUUUUGGGGGUGCAUGUUUUUGUGUAAUAUGCAUGGAAAAUACGUCAAUUUUUUUUAAAAUAUAAUUUUAUUAAUAUUCAAUUUUUUUUCUUUCCGAUUUUACCCCAGUGCAAAUUUUGGUUUGUCCCUACAAAUAUAACACAAAAUAGAGAUGAGAGAUGCAAAAUAAUGCCAAUUUGACAAAUUUAUACUAUAUUAAAAAGAGAGUUCUCAAUUUCAAAUUGAUUUCAAACAAAAUUGAGCGGCAAAUUUGUGAUUAUAAUAAAAUUAUUAAUGUGAAUUAUUCUUUAUUUUUUUAUAUUAAACUAAAAUAUUUAUCUUAAAUUACAAUAUUUUUUAUUAUAUUUAGAAUUUUUUAUAUAAAAAUCAAAUUAAUAUAAAUAUUAUACUCCCUCCGUCCGCCAAGAUUAUGUAAAAAUUACUAUAUUUGGCGUCCGCCAAGUUUAUGUCACUUUCCUUUUAUGGAAAUGGUCCCACCAUCCUCUUUAAUAUUUUAUCCUUACUAACACUCUUUAUUUACAAAAAACCCACUCAAAAUUCAAUCUCAACCACACAUUUCAUAAAGUGGUGGGACCUUUCUCCACUACAUCAAAAUCAUCACCAAUUUUAUUAAAUCCCGUGCCCAAGCAAUUUUACAUAAUUUUGGCGGACGGAGGUAGUAUAUAAUAAAAUAUAAAAAUAUUUUUCGUGCGUUGCACGAGUGCAAAUGCUAGUUAUGAUGUAAAUNAAGAGAGCCUUAAAAUUUAAGCUCACGCCUGAUUGGAUGUUUUUAGAGGUUGGAAAGGGAAUCACUUAAGUGAAUCCAUUACUUGUUGUUUGGUUUGAGUAAUGAGUUAACCAUUACUUUUAUUUGAGGGUAACCCAAUCAUUCAAUUUGUUAUCCCUCAAAAUAGAGGGGAAACAAAAUAAAGGGAAUCCCUUACUAAUGAUUUAUUUCCAUUGUUAAACCAAACACUCAAUAAAAAUAAUAGUUAUUGUUACCAUUCCAUUUCUUUAUUUGAUUCCAUUCACUUUUCAUUACUCUAUUGAACCAACAAGCAAUAAGGAGGUGAUUGGUAUGAUGGAAUGGAGGUGGGAAUGGAAUGGUGAUUCCUACCUCCAUUCCAUUCCUAUGCUUGGUAUAAUUUUAUUUUAGGAAUCACCAUUCUUAAAGGAAUCACCAUUCCUUUAUAUAUAGGAAUCAUCAUUCCUUCCCUCCAACAUGGUAUUACCCAUUCCAUUCCAUUCCAUUUCUAAUUCACCUAAAUUUAGGUUUUGACAAAAUUAUCCUUAUAUAAUUUGCACCCCCACCCCAUCCCACCCCACCCCUACUUACACCCCCUCCCCCCACUCCACCCCACCCCACCCCACCCCACCCCUCCACCCAAAAAAAAUAUUUUUAUUUUUUUAAAAAAAUUCUCGCCAUUCCACCCUCCAAUUUUUUUUUUAAGUUUUCUCGUCACCCCCACACCUCACCCACCUUUCCCUUUCCCCCAAUUUUUUUUUGUUUUUCUCCCCACCCCAACCCACCCACCCCCACCCUCCAAUUAUUUUUUUUUUAAAAAAUUUCUCCCCACCCUCACAAUUUUUUUUAAAAUUUUACUCGCCACCCACACCCACACCCAUCCAUCAUAAUGCAGAAAUGACACGAAGACACAUGUCUCAUUGGUAUUGCAACUCAAGAUCCAGUUCUUAGGGAAACGUUUGCUGGUGAACCUGAACAUGCAAUAAAAUAAAUGGAGUUCUCAAUUUCAAAGUGAACUACCGCUGUGCCGCACACCCAUAUUCUAGAAUCUGAACUUUCAACGUGAAACCUUAGAGAACUACUCCUUCUCCGCUCCGGCCUCCCCUCCGUCGCCACGCCAGAAGACCGGCGCCAUCUCGCCAGGUCCACGCAACAGCAGUAGCCCAGCCCACGACCUGCGUCCUCCCGUCAUUUGCCAGCAGACCGCCGUCUUACAGCAGCAGCAAGCAGCACCCUCUCGGCGAGUCGGCGACGAUGACUGCUCCCCGGCCUCUCCUCCGCAACAGCAGCAGCCCGCGAUCUGCGUCGUCACGUCCACGCAGUAGCAUUCUUGUUUUAAGAAUGAAUUGUUAAUAUAUGUUUUUCUUGUUUUAUGAAUUGACUGAUAUGUGUGAAAUUGAAUCGCUGAUGUUUAUGGAUUUUUUCUCUUCAGAUUUCGAGAUGUGAGGCAGCAACAACAUGUUUUUCUUGUUCUUUUCGCUUUUUUUGUAAUUAUUUGAAAUGAGUCAAAUGACAGUAGCAUGUGUUUUAUGAUUUGAAAAAUAGAAAAUUCAGUUUUUAUAAAUCGGGUCGGUUCGGUUCGGUUUUGAACCGAUGUUCAGCCAUAUUUGUG
Molecule: long non-coding RNA, 3150 nt
Filed under: Salvia miltiorrhiza (redroot sage)
Lineage: Eukaryota; Viridiplantae; Streptophyta; Magnoliopsida; Lamiales; Lamiaceae
Description: long non-coding RNA (SMIL_LNC007362)
Source: RNAcentral